Molecule: ribosomal RNA, 384 nt
Filed under: uncultured bacterium
Lineage: Bacteria
Description: bacterial SSU rRNA
Rfam family: Bacterial small subunit ribosomal RNA
Source: RNAcentral
GAAAAAAAGGGGUUUACAAGGACACAAAAAACCGGGAGGCAGUAGUGGGGAAUAUUGGACAAUGGGGGCAACCCUGAUCCAGCCAUGCCGCGUGUGUGAAGAAGGCCCUCGGGUUGUAAAGCACUUUCAGCGAGGAAGAACGCCUGGUGGUUAAUACCCACCAGGAAAGACAUCACUCGCAGAAGAAGCACCGGCUAACUCCAUGCCAGCAGCCGCGGUAAUACGGAGGGUGCAAGCGUUAAUCGGAAUUACUGGGCGUAAAGCGCGCGUAGGUGGCUUGAUAAGCACGGUUGUGAAAGCCCCGGGCUCAACCUGGGAACGGCAUCCGGAACUGUCAGGCUAGAGUGCAGGAGAGGAAGGUAGAAUUCCCGGUGUAGCGGUGAA